UAGGUGGCUCGAAAGAGAACCGUAACACAGGUGCUGCAUGGCUGUCGUCAGCUCGUGUCGUGAGAUGUUGGGUUAAGUCCCGCAACGAGCGCAACCCUUGUCAUUAGUUGCUACAUUUUAGUUGGGCACUCUAGUGAGACUGCCGGUGACAAACCGGAGGAAGGUGGGGAUGACGUCAAGUCCUCAUGGCCCUUAUAGGUGGGGCUACACACGUCAUACAAUGGCUGGUACAAAGGGUUGCCAACCCGCGAGGGGGAGCUAAUCCCAUAAAACCAGUCGUAGUCCGGAUCGCAGUCUGCAACUCGACUGCGUGAAGUCGGAAUCGCUAGUAAUCGUGGAUCAGAAUGUCACGGUGAAUACGUUCCUCGGCCUUGUACACACCGAGAA
RNAcentral lists this ribosomal RNA (387 nucleotides) under Variovorax soli. RNAcentral describes it as "bacterial SSU rRNA". It matches the Rfam family "Bacterial small subunit ribosomal RNA", at positions 1009 to 1396 of the family's 1533-position model. The record is from RNAcentral. Lineage: Bacteria; Pseudomonadati; Pseudomonadota; Betaproteobacteria; Burkholderiales; Comamonadaceae.